GUCCACGCCCUAAACGAUGUCAACUGGUUGUUGGGGAUUUAUUCUCUUAGUAACGAAGCUAACGCGUGAAGUUGACCGCCUGGGGAGUACGGUCGCAAGAUUAAAACUCAAAGGAAUUGACGGGGGCCCGCACAAGCGGUGGAUGAUGUGGAUUAAUUCGAUGCAACGCGAAAAACCUUACCUACGCUUGACAUGUCCGAAAGGUUCCAGAGAUGGGAUUGUGCUCGAAAGAGAAUCGGAACACAGGUGCUGCAUGGCUGUCGU
This 264-nucleotide ribosomal RNA is filed under the name uncultured bacterium. RNAcentral's name for it is "partial 16S ribosomal RNA". It matches the Rfam family "Bacterial small subunit ribosomal RNA", at positions 793 to 1055 of the family's 1533-position model. The record is from RNAcentral.